UGUGUGUGUGUGUCAAGAGCGUUCACCAUGGGGGGUGAAGGUCGUCACCGUCUCUCUCCCGGCGACACGCGCAGUCGCGGCCAACGCGAGGCAGAUCUCUUCGCCCAUCGUCAGCCUUCCUGCGGCACGGGAGAGCACAGCGUGUGGUGUGACCUCAUCCUCGUGGAAGCGGGCUUCCGCCCGCUAGAGGCGAGGAAUGUAGUGCUGGUGAUCACCCGCAGCAAAGUCCUCCUCCGUGUGGUGGCGACAGGGUUCGCGUUGACAAUUCACCUGCAGGACAUCGUUCAAGUGCGUCACGUCGUGCCGGCUCGCGCUGUUGAGUUGCAUGUGGAGGUGCCAUUGGCGGCAUCGCCGGCGGAACACAACCACCCCGGGCCGGAGAAGUGGUGUACGGUGGCAAAGAACCGUCUUUACCGCGUUUAUCCAAAGGAAUGCGGUCGUUACAGUACCAGCGCGUGCGCGCAGCUGUUCCAGCUCAUCACCUCCCUCCUCCCGGCGCAUGUGCAGCAGGCGUCGGAGGAGAGCGACCUGGACGAUGCCGUUGCUUGGUACGAGCGGGUAGAUGCGUGCUCGAUGCUGCCAUAUCAUCUGUCUGAGGAGGUGGGGCUGCGUGAUCUGGAUAGCAUAUCUUACUCGCUGCCUCACCUCUCUUCCUCUGCGAGCGUGGCGAGGUUGGCGGCCUUCCACGCGGAAGCUCGGCAGCACCCGCCGACCCGGCGACAAGCACGAUCGGCGCUCUCCCUCGGAAGCUCCUGUAGAGGUUUCCGGGCACCUUCAGACUUUUUUGAUGACGCAGACAUGGCCAUGGCGCCCCAUUUGCGUCAAAUCUACGUAGUGCCGUCGCCGAGCUUCUGGCGACUCCCCAAGGCGUCGUCGCCAUCGACGCCAUCGCAUCUUCUCUCGCAUGAGAGAUGGACCCCGCCUCGCCUGCGCCACGACGUCUCUGCUGAGGCGGCCUCCCAAUCUGCAUCCUCCUCGACUUCAACAAUGCAGCGGCAGCACGCCUUAAGACGCACACCGGAGUCGCCCGGCACAUUUUUCGCUACGACCGCUCCUGCGUCGAGACAUCAGUUGCAUCAAAGUGAAAAAAGAAAUCAGCAGUCCGCGCACAGCUCGCCGGCCGUGGGCGUCGGCAUGAGCAGGCGAGAGCCGUCGCUCACGGCAGGCAUGCGCGGCCUGCGCCCCCUCACCGCACGAGCCCCGCCAUUUCUAUCGUACUCGUCGGCACGGUUCUCUUGGCGUGGCGCUCAGCGGCCUGCGAACCUCGAGUACGGCCCCACCACAUCCGGUUGAAAGAAUCAGGGGUCAGGCAGCACCACACCAGCCUCGGCCAGCCGUCCGCGCCUCCGCCGUGCUUGGCACGCAGGUGCUGAUGGAGAGUGCAAGAAAGAGAAAGGGGGAGUGGGUCGCAUGAGGCAGCGGCAGCGAGCCCUGUAAGCCUGGUAUUGGGGGAGCGUUGAAAGCACGGUCGAAGCAAUCUGGCACUGUGAACGCUCCCUCUCGUCUAGGCAUCGCACCAUCUGUCGCGCAUAUAUCGAUAAUUUAGGCUCAUCUCGUUCUCUCAUCUUGGCGCUUAGGCUCAAGCAGAACACGGGCGCAUACGGCCCAUAUUGUGGCGUGCACCACUAUGCCUUCCUACCUCCUUCCCCUGUGCGGGGAUGGAUCGCGAUGGUCGCCGUCUUUUGCUUCGCAUCGGUGCACCUUUUUUUUUUCGUCGUCGUCGCAUAUACCUUCUGACGUAGAGUGCACACACACACACACAAGGAGCGG
RNAcentral lists this unclassified non-coding RNA (1770 nucleotides) under Leishmania donovani. RNAcentral's name for it is "gene:LdHU3.24.0590(CDS-product:hypothetical_prote in_conserved)". The record is from RNAcentral. Lineage: Eukaryota; Euglenozoa; Kinetoplastea; Trypanosomatida; Trypanosomatidae.